CCUACGGGAGGCAGCAGUAGGGAAUCUUCGGCAAUGGACGGAAGUCUGACCGAGCAACGCCGCGUGAGUGAAGAAGGUUUUCGGAUCGUAAAGCUCUGUUGUAAGGGAAGAACGAGUGUGAGAGUGGAAAGUUCACACUGUGACGGUAUCUUACCAGAAAGGGACGGCUAACUACGUGCCAGCAGCCGCGGUAAU
Molecule: ribosomal RNA, 195 nt
Filed under: uncultured bacterium
Lineage: Bacteria
Description: partial 16S ribosomal RNA
Rfam family: Bacterial small subunit ribosomal RNA
Source: RNAcentral